CUAUUUAACAUGUGAAUGGCCCAGCUCACACAAGCAAGCGUGGAGCAAUUCCUAUCCACACGUAGUCUAGUUUUCCCAUGUGGGCCUCACAUCCGAAUGUGUGGAUUCUGUUUUCCUACACGCCCCAUACGCUUCAUCAUGUUAGACACAUCCCGGUAUGUGCGAGCAUGCACAUGCACACCAAGCUGCUAGCUUGCGUGGUUUGCCUUUGUGGGAAUCUCCCUUUUCCUGCAUGCGUUGCGCCUAGGGAUCCGCAUUUGCAUGCUAUACGGCGUGCAUGAAUGGCUUCUUUAUGCUUGUGCUUGCCCGUUGUGUGUGUUGCAUGCCCAUCUU
This 333-nucleotide long non-coding RNA is filed under the name Carica papaya (papaya). RNAcentral describes it as "long non-coding RNA (CPAP_LNC009323)". The record is from RNAcentral. Lineage: Eukaryota; Viridiplantae; Streptophyta; Magnoliopsida; Brassicales; Caricaceae.